This is a long non-coding RNA of Helianthus annuus (common sunflower), 800 nucleotides long. RefSeq lists it as uncharacterized. The record is from RefSeq and is a predicted model, not a curated record. The transcript is spliced from 5 exons. Lineage: Eukaryota; Viridiplantae; Streptophyta; Magnoliopsida; Asterales; Asteraceae.
AUAAAAUUUCCCAGUUGUCAAUCUCUUUUCCUUUCCAUAAUUCCUAGCAAAUAUGACUGGCAUUCUUUCUUUAAAAUAAAUCAGCGACGUAAAUCUCGUGAUUUCGUAUCCCUUCUAAAACAACCAAUUUAAUUGCAUUAUUUGAUCCAUUCAUGCCCUAUCACUCCUUACGAACUCCUUCAAAAGUCAGCCUCCUCUGUCAUUACCUUCAAAACUCCCGACGAGUUUGCCGCCGCAACCACCGGUUCGAACCUAUCUCGCCAGUUUGUUUCACAGGUGGGUUGUCUGGUUUGAGCCGAGUCUAAACCGUUGAGCGCCACCAUCGCGAUUGAUCGAGUAUCCGCCACCAUUGUCGUGUUCUUUAGGCGUCUUCGUUCGGUCACUCAGAAGCUCGAAAUCGUUUGGUUUUGCUCAAAUUUGUUUGAAAAGUAAGUUGCUUGAUCUCGUUGUUGAUAGACGCAAACUGAACACCACCGGCGUUAACCUAGCUAAACCACCGUAGGGUUUUUCUUUGAUCACUAGUGACUACAUUGAUUUCCAUUCGUGUCUUAAGGUUUUCGUGUUAAUUGAGGACGUUCUUGAAUUUCGUGUUGUUACGUUUAAGCUAAGGUACUCAGGGAAAUCGGGGAAAUGUGUGAAGAGUGAUAAUAAAAAGCUAGAGUUGGAACAAGGAGUUUAAUAAAACCUUAUAUUCAAUAAAUUUAGACACUUAUGUUUUUCGGUUAAGACCAUUAUGUCAUUUUGGGGGAUUUUGUUUUUAAACCUAUGGAAUUUAUGUUUUAAUUAAGUUAUUAAUUGUC